This is an RNA transcript of Talpa occidentalis (Iberian mole), 2825 nucleotides long. It is a transcript of the gene named peptidoglycan recognition protein 1, with no coding region annotated. The record is from RefSeq and is a predicted model, not a curated record. The transcript has 6 exons. NCBI's taxonomy places the organism in Eukaryota, Metazoa, Chordata, Mammalia, Eulipotyphla, Talpidae.
CGACGCGCCCACACAGGCCCCAGCCUCCCGCGUACCUGAUGAGGUAGUGGACGCAGACGAUGCUCUCCGACUGGGGGCCCCGGCCCCCUGACACCACCGUGGCCUGGGUCUGGGUCCACAGAUUCUACCCCAUGGAGACUCCAAGUUUGGGGCCUAAGGACUCCCCCAGCUCCAGAGAUCCAGCUUAAGAAAGGGUACAUGGACCCCAAUCAAUAGACACCCAAGUUUCUAGAUCCCUGGAUGACCCACGAGACCCAGCCUGAGAAAGCCCCACAGGAUCGCCAGCCAGGAGACCCCUGGACACCAACUCAUGAAACCGUCUUGAACCCAGCUGGGCUGUUACAUCAUAUACGCUGAGAUCCAGACGCUUCUCGAGUCUUCCACGCAUACAGCUGCCAGGACCAGAGAAGAGUGGCGUUUUCCUUUUGUUUCCUCCCCAUAGUUGGGAUUGGUAUCGCAGUGCUUGUGAUGAGGGAUCCUUUGUAUAGGGACAGCGUAACGCCCAGCCCCAUGGCACACGGGCAGGCAGUGGAGUUUCACACCUUUGAGGAAGCCACCGGGUCGCCCAUGGGGUGCAGUGGAUGAGCCUCCUGGGACAAAGAACGUAUGCUCAGGACAGAACACAGAGGCCACGUUCAGGCACUAAGUCCCCUCGUGUCCCUGCAUCGAUGAGCACAGGACUGGCGAUACCAGGAGCUGAGGAAACACUGCGUGAGUGAGAGAUGCCUCCUCUCCUGGCACCCUGCAGUCCAGCGGGGAGCAGUCAGCCUGAGCAGAGCGUGCCAGCCCCCGGCCUGUCCUCCCGCCGACAGCUUCCGGCCUCCUCGACAGCCUGCUUGUGCCGCGGACGUUUCUCAAAAGAACAUCAGUCACGGAACAGUGUCAUGAUGCCAUGGGCCACGCCUGCCUCCUGGCAGGUCCUGCUGCUCCCCUGCUCCGCGCACCUUCUCCCUGCCUCCCUCUGACCUGAGCGGGAGGGACUCGGCUGCCUCCCGUCCUGGGCACCAGCGCCUGUGUGGUGCCGGAUGGACUCGCCGUGUGUCCUGGACUCGCGGCCACUGGCGGAAGACAGGGAAGUCCUGGUGUCCUGGUGGCAUUUCUGGGGAGCCUGGCAGGCUCUGUGUGCCUCCAGGUUCAGCUGAGGUCCUGACCCGUGAGCAGAGGACCCUCCACUGACAUGGCCUCUGUCACACCCACGCGGAGCUGGUUUGGAAAGCAGUCACGCCCUCUCCCGAGUGUGGGGUCAGAGGGGGUGACCAGCCCCUUGGAGGGUGUGAGGGACAAGCAGCCUUGGAGAAGGCAGGACACUGGCCGGGACCCCUGGCACUGGGUUUCGGUGUUGAUGUGGGAGAGCAAGGUGGUGCGGUGCCUGCCUGUGCAUCUUCUUUGCUGCAGGGGUUUAUUGCCGGGCGGGAGAGCGGGGCUCUUGGAGGGGGAGAGGGCACCCUCCUGUCCCAGCUGCUGAGGGACCUGAGGUAGGACCCACAGAGGACAACUUGCAUCCACCUGCCUGAGAUCCAGGACUGGACAUCACCCUGUGCCACCGGGAGGCCCAUGCUGGCAUCUCUCUCUCUCUCUCCCUCUCCCUCCCUCCCUCCACCCACCACCCUUUAACUUCAGGAGCCUCAUUCCCAUUAUGAGAGCAUUCUGCUUUGUUAAACAGGCUGCUUGGUAACAUCUCAUAUUUGUCUUGCGCAACCACACCUUGUCCCCGCAGCUCCUUCAUUUUGCUAUACUUCCUGAGGUCGUUCCCCAGGCCACGUCAUGCCCCAGGCCACUGGUUCCCCAGGCCCUGUCAUCCGUGGCGCAGACAGGCCGCAUCUUCGUGGUCCAGUCCCCUAUCAGGCACUUCGUUGCCUCCACCCUUAGUCUGUGAUAGUCUUUUUUUUUUUUUUUUUAAAGAUUUAUUUAUUUAUGCAUACAAGAGCUGGGGUACAGGCCAGAGGUGUGGGGGGUAAGAGGUUUCACCAGAGACAACGUGGGGAGCAGAACAGGCAGAUUGACUGAAACACGUUGAUGAGAGGAGCAGCGGGGAGACAGGAGAGGUCUGCUGCUUCAUGUGGGUCAGCUCCCUGGCCGGGGAUCGAACUCGCGCUGCAAUGGCUAUGGCUAGGUUCAUAGGUUGCGUCUUAACCCCUUGCACCACCAGGGAGGCCCAGUCUGUGAUAGUCUUUGAAUGUUGACUGUAAACGCCCAUAUUCUAUUUCUGGGGAGCAGGGGCUAAGGAGGAAUAACUUGGAAUUACCUCUUCACCCUGCCCGCCCCCCUAUCCCUUCCUGGAGCCAGGGAUUGUGAUAAAUUCACUUGUCCCCUUUUAAAACUAUGAAAAUUCAAUUCUGUGUUUUAAUUUUAUUAUUAAACUAUUAUGUCAAACUUGAACAGAAUAGGGAGGGGCUUCGGGCACUGAGCAGGGAUCUCCCGAGAAGUCCUCAGACCAGCACAUCCCUGCUUCCCCCACUUUCUGCUCCAACCCGUGGGAAAUGCAGGUAUGGUGGGGGUCGCCCCCCACCCCCACCUAAACUGAGAUGGCCUGUGGGUGACGUCCACCUUCCUGAUAUCAGCCGCCAUCUCAUCUCAGAGCUGACUGGGGUUCAGGAGGGCCUGGGCCCCCUGGAGUGUGAACUGUGGCCUCUUUCUGUGACUGAGGCCGGAUCUGUCAGUUUUCAGAAUCCCAUAAGCUGACUCAUUCAUCCUUGAGGAGAAUACUUUAGGAGCUAGAACAUUCGUCUUAGUGAGAUUCCCCCCACUGCCUUGCCACCCACACACCACUGUUUGCUGUCUGGUGGGGACGAGGGUGAGCCCAGCCCGGGCUUGGAGGGGCCCGA